RNAcentral lists this ribosomal RNA (292 nucleotides) under uncultured bacterium. RNAcentral describes it as "partial 16S ribosomal RNA". It matches the Rfam family "Bacterial small subunit ribosomal RNA", at positions 505 to 796 of the family's 1533-position model. The record is from RNAcentral.
GUGUCAGCCGCCGCGGUAAUACGGAGGGUGCGAGCGUUAAUCGGAAUUACUGGGCGUAAAGCGCACGUAGGCGGUCGGAUAAGUCGGAUGUGAAAGCCCUGGGCUUAACCUGGGAACUGCAUUCGAUACUGUCUGGCUAGAGUAUGGGAGAGGGAAGCAGAAUUUCCGGUGUAGCGGUGAAAUGCGUAGAUAUCGGAAGGAAUACCAAUGGCGAAGGCAGCUUCCUGGCCCAAUACUGACGCUCAGGUGCGAAAGCGUGGGGAUCAAACAGGAUUAGAUACCCUCGUAGUCC